UUUUUUUUUUUUUUUUUGCACUAUUGGAAGUCUCCUGCUAGUGUUCAGUAGAUGUUCUUUAGAAUUGUUCUACAUGAAGUUUUUAUUUAUUUAUUUAAUGUAUUUGUGGGAGAAGGUAUGCUCCAUGUCCUCCGCCAUCUUAACCUGAUGUCCUACUUAUCAUUUCUAUCCUGAUGUUUCCAUAUUGGUAUCUCCAGCUUGGUCCUCUGAACUUGUGUAUGGUUUGCUCUACAUUCAUCUCCAUUUGGUAGUCACUAAUAGAAAGUCUAAAACUUAAAAUGGUCAACACCAAACUUUUGAUAUGCCUCCUUUUCUAUCUCAGAAACAGCAACUUAGUUUUUCCAAUUGUUUAGGCCUAACCUUGGAGUUAUCUUUGUCUCUUCUUAUCCCCUCUCUUUCCAUACAUCCUGUCAUUUAGAAAAUAAUGUUGAUUCUACUUUCAAAAUUCAUUCCAAAUUCAACCACUCAUUACUACUUCCAGGAAGUACUGGCAAAGAAGCCUGAGGAUAAGGUCCAAGCAUCAUUGCCUUGUCCAAGCAGUCAUCAUCUCUUGCCUAGAUUACUGCAAUAGCCUCCUCUGUUCUCCCAGACUCUAUCUAGUCCAUCAGUAGAUUAAUCCAGUUCAAACUAAUCAGAUGUAUCAAUACCCUACUCAGAACUAUUCAAUUCUUUCUCACUUAUGUGAGAAAAAUAUCACAUGCACUCUAUCUUCAGCUUCCAGUAAUAAUAGCAAAGAACCUACAGAUCUCUCUGUAAUUUAAAAACAUAGCUAGGGUUAAAGGAAAAAAAAAUCCACACUUGGUCCUGAGACUCAACAUUUCACUACAACUAAUCUAUAACACAUGGGGCUUAUUUAUAUACAUGAGGCAGUACAGAGCAAAGUCUCUGAGACAGUCCUGAUUCUCCUGCUUGCUACCACUGUGUUAUCCUGAACAAAUUACUUAACUGAAGUGAUCUCUUCCUAUCAGGAACAGGAAGACAGUCCUCAACAUACUGUCCUACAAAUCAAAUAAGUUAAUGUCACAUUAAAUAGUGCAGUACUUGGCUUUCACUAUAGUAAAUAAUCAAAAAUAACCAAUGACAAAUCAUUUUAAAGUCUCUAUUCCAAACAAUUUGAUCUGUAUCUUCUAAACAUUAGGUGUGCAUGCUUAAAAACCAACCUCAAAUUCAUUUAUUUUCACAGGUGAAUUGUGUGUUGAUAUUUUUAAAAGAUGAUUCAGGAACCUAAACUAACAUUGACUUUUGUCCAUUUCCUUUAGUCAUCAAAUACUUCAAGACCCGAUACUCCAACAUACUUUAGGAUUUAAUAAACUAGAAUUCAGUUGAUGACUUUUCAUUGAGCAAUUAUUAUACACUAUGCACUGAUUGAGGCAACAGAGAGCAAGUGAAACAGAAAACAAACCAAAAAAAAAAAAAUGCUGUCACAAGUUUACACAUUCAAACUAUGAGAACACAUUUUGUGUACUAAAGUGCAACAGAGAGCUUACUGACACAGGCUAAAAGGACCAAGUGUGCUAAGACCAUACUGGAACAAGAAUAAAAGAACAAAUUAUCAUCCCAGAAGACUUAACUAUUGACCUUGGAUAGGUAUCUUUCAUUUUGGGGGUUGCCUAAAGCAAUGACAAUACAAUUCAAAACAAACAAAGUUUAAAAUUUUAAGCUAGUCUUAAAAAUUUGCAUUUAGCCGAUGUUAAAUUUGUAUUUAACAUACCUUAAGAAAAAGGAAUAUUGAGUAAUGAAUUUCUUUACAGCUUUAUUAGCAUGAUGUUCAUUUAUAUUCUUUCCCUCUCUGAUUUUUACUAAUUUUGACAAGGAAAAUAUCAGUAGUUGAUGAAAAUUUAGUCCUAGCUAUACAUUUAACUUGUAUCUAUAAGCACAAUGCAUUUGGAGAUCAGAUGACUAGUCAGAAAGAAAAUUUACAUGCUCUUUUUAUUGAAUAGUCUCUUUUCUGUGGAGACAAAUGCUUUGACAAAUCAUUAAUAUAAAUAUUCUUCAUUCGUCCAGUCAAUUGAACAUUUACUUCAUGGCACAUUGUACCAAGAUCAAAUGAAAAGGAUGGUUACUUCAAAUUACUUUAUCAGAAAGUUCAUCUGAAGGCCAGUUUUAUUUAGAAAAAAAGUAGAUGAUUUGAAGUUUGGAUAGCAAAAUAUAAAAUGAAUAACAUAUAUGAAUAAUUUUCUUCUUAAUUUCAAGUAACAUACUUGAAAAUAAAAAUUAGUAUAUUUAAGUACAAUAGUUCUCCUAUACAGUAGCAUGAAAAAAGGAAGUGGCAAUUAAGCUAAAUAUAGUAAUAUAUCAAUAGAUGAAAAAAUCUCAUUCCAUGUAACUUAUUCCUAACUUCUGUGGAAGAUGGUAUCAGUAAUUAUGCUCUGCUUUUUCAAUAUUAAUUUAAAAUUGUGUUGGUAGUGAGUGAUCACUAAGAAGUCCUUUUAUAUAUGUAAUCGUUUGAAAAGACCAAUAAGUGGUUGUGUGGGGAGCCAUUGUAUCAAAAAGCAUAAUGAACUCAGAGUCAGGUGUCUUGGUUUCUAUUGCUGAAUAUGUCUAUUCAGUAUAAGAAACCAAUAGUUAGUCUUGGACAGUUCAAUCAUUUGAGUCUCAGUUUCUUAAUCUGUAAAAUAACUACAUUGAAAUUGAUUGCACCAUGAAAAUAGGGUAGUAUAGUAGUUUACAAAAUGCAUUUCAGUCAAAAUGCCUAAAUUGGUAUCCCUAUCCUGAUUCUGCCCCAGGUGUGACCUUGAAUAAAAUUACUCUAAACCUCAAAAUGUUAUAAUGGAAAAACAAAAUAUGACAAGAGAAUUAGAUAAUAAAGGUAAAAUACAUAGCAUCAGACCUAAAACCCAGUAAGUAGACAAUAAAUGUUAUCUGUCAAUACCGUAUUACUCAUCUAAGAUUCAAAUGAAUUUAAAAAUUUUACUUAGUCACAUGACCCAGAGAUGAGCAUAAUGUCCACUGACUUUUGCCUAUUGUUAGUCAAUUAACAGUAGGCUUUGUCUGGGGGGCUAAAUUCUCCUGCAAGUGAAUAAUUUUCCUUUAAAACUUCUUACUUAAAUCUCUAAUAUAUCAAUAUUAAUAUUGUCAGCCUUGGAGCAGAAAGAAGCAAGAUAUAGAUAACCAAUCUGUUUGAUGAAUCCUAGUAAAGACUAUUUCAGUAUUGACUAUUAAAUGCUCUUUGGAGCAAAACCAAAUACUAACAUAAGCAGAGUACAAAAAAGUUGUUCGGUAAUAUACAUAAGCCAGGAAAUAAGUCUUUUGAAGACUUCCUAAUACAUAGGUUCAAAUUAGUUAUUUCUCCCUUACUUACUGAUAAAAUAUACACUGGUAUCUAUUUGGCUUAAGUUCCACACUAGAAAAAAAUAAUAAAGGUGUCCUCACAGCAAUCCCAGAGAGAUGUGACUUUGAAUUUUGAAAAUUUAGAAAAUGUGACUUACUUAAAAAGAAUCAUUUAUGACACCAGGAAAAUGGCAAAUGAAAACUUAGAUUUGAUAUUGUCUGGUGCUACCUGAAUGACAGUUUCUAUUCAAGGUCAAAUCCACAAAUUCACUUUUGGUCCCUUCUUUCAUUUUAAAACGCAUGACUGCAAAAUGAACCAGCAGCUAGAGAAAACACUGCUGUGAUUAUCUUUUACCAUCUACAUGAAUUCUUUCUAUUCAGUCUUUUCAUGCAGUUUGACUUAAAUCGGUAUGAAAUGUAAAUUUUCUUUUUGUCCAUUUCCUUACCUUCUUCUUGCAUUCAUCGUGAAAAAUUACCUGUGUGAAUCCUUUUACCCUUUUUCCAUCCCUUAUGAGGUAGUAAUACCUCUUAGUACAAGGGCAGAGACACUUGAGAUUUAAAAAAAAAUCUUCAUUAUCAACACAAAAAUAGAAUGUAGGGUGAAUAUCCUGUAUUUUCUUUGACAACACUUCCAAGGAGUCAAAAGGGUUGCCUCAUUGCUUUUAAACAUACUUAUGUCUUUAAAAUUAAUUUUGUCUAUUUAAGAUUUGCCAAUAAAGAUCCACUCCUUCCUGAUCAAAGCCUAUAUAAAAAAUCUCUUUUUUAUAUGAUAGAAUCAAUCUUUUUUAACCAUUAACUCUAAAUAAAGAAGAUGCUAUUAUAAAAUACAUAAAUUAGUAGAAAUGCAGUAAUAACACCUGAGGCCUGAGUCUCCUUUGUAUGAACCCAGAAUACUAAAAUGAAAUCAUCUUUAUUUCAGUUUCUUUCUGAGAAUAUUAACAUCUAGGAAGACUCUUUCAAAAUGUUAAGACAAGAUAUACUACCUUAUUUAGUUUUAAACUCGAUACAAAUACUUAAAGGCACUCUAUGAUCUUCCCAUUGUUAUGAUAUUAAAAUCUUGCUUAAGAUGGAAUCAAUUAAUCGAGUCUUUAGUGGGAAAAAAACAAAACAAAACUGCGAGAGCAGGCAAGCAAGCAGGCUGGCAAAUGGGAGUAUCCUGGGUCACCAAUGCUGCUGCACAAAACCAGUUGAAAUCCCAAGGCACUUAACACUCUGACAUGCUAAUAAAAGCUUUCUCUACUUCUUGAUAGCUACAUAUGUCUAGCCCUUUGCUUAGGGGUCCUCUUUUUAUUCACCACACUACAUAAAUUUCUCUGAGGUAGCACUAGUUCUUGCUAGGCUGCUACACCAAAUGGCAGAUGUGAUACAGACCAUACAAUAGCUAGGCCAGGUCCUUCUGGAUUUGCCUGAAAGAAGAGAUAUAAAUAGGUAUUAUCUACAUCCAGGUGGUAAAGAAUGCCACUGUGUUUGAUUUCCCCGGAGGCCAUACAUAUCUAGAGCUUGAAAUUCCUAAUCUGUCAUUAAAUGUUUGGCUUAAACUAAAAAAAUGAUUAUGGGGAGUUCCCGUCGUGGCACAGUGGUUAACGAAUCCGACUAGGAACCAUGAGGUUGAGGGUUCGAUCCCUGGCCUUGCUCAGUGGGUUAACAAUCCGACGUUGCCGUGAUCUGUGGUGAAGGUUGCAGACGUGGCUCGGAUCCCGUGUUGCUAUGGCUGUGGUAUAGGCUGGUAGCUACAGCUCCAAUUGGACCCCUNNNNNNNNNNNNNNNNNNNNNAAAAAAAAAAAAAAAAAAAAAAAAAAAAAAAAAAAGAUUACAACAGAAAUAAAAUAAAACAGUUCUUCAUGAAAAUGGUAAAUCUGAUUACUUGCCAAAGUGUUCUGCCUGUCAGCUAUUUGCAGUAAUGUUAGGUUGACUGAAAUGUUAGGGUGUCUUUUAGCCCUAAUUCACUUGGACUUACUACAUGGCUGGUUGUGGAUGUGACCUGGAAUGUGACCUGCCAAGGACUUCUGCAAUUUUUCUUAUCCUAUUUGAGGAUCAAAAAGGUUGACCACUCAGCCUAGGUCAGUGAUUCUCAAAAUAUGUAUGCAUGAAAUUCACCUGGGGUUUUUAAUUAAACAAAUUCUCAGAUUUCAAACAUGGAGAUUCCAAAGCAAUAGGUCUGUGGUAGGACCAGAAACUGGCGCUGUUGAUGCGCUGAAAGCCACUUGUACAUACCUACAUUUGGCAAGAGACUGUCUGAGAAGAGGGAAAUUUGUCAUCUUGUGAAACUGUCACAAAGGCUACUUACUAGUAGGAUGUUUUCUGAAUCAGUUUUGGUUUUUUUUUUU
RNAcentral lists this long non-coding RNA (5597 nucleotides) under Sus scrofa (pig). RNAcentral's name for it is "lncRNA (ENSSSCG00015047533.1)". The record is from RNAcentral. Lineage: Eukaryota; Metazoa; Chordata; Mammalia; Artiodactyla; Suidae.